Zalophus californianus (California sea lion) is the source of this 346-nucleotide long non-coding RNA. RefSeq lists it as uncharacterized. NCBI's taxonomy places the organism in Eukaryota, Metazoa, Chordata, Mammalia, Carnivora, Otariidae. The transcript has 3 exons. The record is from RefSeq and is a predicted model, not a curated record.
CAGAUUUCCAUUUCUUUCAGCACACCACUGUGGCCCUGGGAGAGUGUCUGUGAACCCAACUCAAGAACAGCUUGCUUCCUGUUUCUCUGAGGCACAUGAUGUGGUGGGUGAGGUCCGCUCCUCUGAUGGCACCUCUUCCAAGCGAUGAAAAACAUGGAAAGGACUCUGCUCCAAAUUAAGGGAAACAUGGCAGCUUUGGAGUCCCACAGAUUGGACGCAGAGAGAAGAGGGCCAUCAGUGAACCAGGAAUCAGGUCCUCGCCAGAUACUGAAUCUACCAUCACCUUGAUCUUGGACUUCCCAGCCUUCAGAACUGAUAGAAAUAAAUUUCUGUUGUUUAUAAGCUA